Canis lupus familiaris (dog) is the source of this 338-nucleotide long non-coding RNA. RefSeq lists it as uncharacterized. The record is from RefSeq and is a predicted model, not a curated record. NCBI's taxonomy places the organism in Eukaryota, Metazoa, Chordata, Mammalia, Carnivora, Canidae. The transcript has 2 exons.
GUAGAAAUCAUAAAAGGCGAACAGGGUGGUAGCAACAAGAGGCCCAUGGAGAACGAAGGAUGAGGUCCUGUAGUAGUCAGAAUUGUCUGAAGCUGUUGCUGAAGGAGACCGAGGGGUUGGAGAGUCCAAGGAAACAAGGUUGGGCUAGCUUGCUGGAAAGGAAGAGAAGACAGCCUCCAUCAGCCAGCCUCCAUCCAAGCUGGGAGCUGACCAGGUCUUCAUUCAAAGAUUUGUGAGUUAGCUUGGUCAAGACCAGAUGAGCUGCACAACCGAGCCUAGCCUAAGUAUUAUUGACUUGAAGAAUCAUGAACUAAAUAAAUGAUUGCUUUUUAAAGUUA